AAAGUUAAAAUAAAAAUAAAUUUUUAAAAAAAUUGUGAGAAUUCUUCUGUUGCUUAUUGUCAUGGACAAUUUUAAAUUGCUUAUUUAAAGAAAAAAACACUAAAUAAAAAUAAAAAUAAAAAACACUAAAGUUACUGAUUUGUAACUUCAUUUUAUCUUUGUUGUUGUUAGUAUUGUGCGGUGGACCAAGGAGCAAGUAAAGUGUUUCUUUUGCCCAAGAUUUUGUCAGUGACUGUGAGAGUUAUCCAAAAGGAUGCAGAAGAGAAGAAAGGUGCUUUCAGCCCAAGGGCAUAUUUCAGAUUGUUUCUGAACUGGCUUUUGGACCUUGGUUCCCCUGACCCUGUCCUUGAUAGUUCCAACUUUCAAGUCUUGACAGCAUUUGCGAAUGCUUUCUAUGCAUUACAAACUUUGAAAGUUCCCAGUUGGAGCUUUGCAUGGCUCGAGUUGGUGAGCCACAGAAGUUUCAUGCCAAAAUUGCUAAAAAUCAACUCUCAGAAGGGUUGGCCUUUGGUACAGUGCCUACUUGUUGACUCGUUCAAAUUCAUGGAGCCAUACUUGAGGAAUGUUGAACUUGGGGAAUCGGUUCACUUUAUGUACAAAGGCACUCUAAGGGUGCUCUUGGUAUUGCUUCAUGAUUUCCCAGAGUUCCUUUGUGAUUAUCAUUUCAGCUUCUGUGAUGUGGUUCCACCCAGUUGCAUUCAAAUGCGGAAUGUUAUUCUAAGUGCAUUCCCAUGAAACAUGAGGCUACCCGAUCCUUCUACUCCCAACUUGAAGAUUGAUUUGUUUGCUGAAAUCAGCCAAUCACCACGCAUUCUCUCUAAGGUUGAUGGUGCUCUGAAAGCAAAGCAGAUUAAGGUUGACAUUGAUGAGUAUCUCAAGGGAAGAAGACAAUUAAACUUGAAAUAUGCAUUGGACAGAAUGGUAACACUGGAAAUAUAAAAGCUAUCAAGUGUAGUAUGUCAUCAAGUUUACAAAUGAAGCUUGAUGAGCAGCGGAAAGAACUCUCUUCAUGUCAUGAAGGAAUAUUGUCACAUAUCAUUCAUUCCACCCAAUAGAUCAGCACGUUAAGCGCCGAAAAACCAACUUCCAUGGAGCAGGUAAGGACUAGCCUAGUUCUGACUAUCAUAGGAGUAGUUUUCAAAGGUCUAAUGGUGGGUGAUCCACUCUUCUCAUUGUAUACAAGUGGGGCAAUCCAGAGUUCAAAUCACUACAGCCUUUUGACGCCACUUGUGCUAGCAGUGGACCAUA
Magnolia sinica is the source of this 1248-nucleotide RNA transcript. RefSeq lists it as uncharacterized. The record is from RefSeq and is a predicted model, not a curated record. The transcript has 7 exons. Lineage: Eukaryota; Viridiplantae; Streptophyta; Magnoliopsida; Magnoliales; Magnoliaceae.